GACGAACGCUGGCGGCGUGCCUAAUACAUGCAAGUCGAACGCUUCCUUCCUCCCGAGUGCUUGCACUCAAUUGGAAAGAGGAGUGGCGGACGGGUGAGUAACACGUGGUAACCUACCCACCAGAGGGGGAUAACACCUGGAAACAGGUGCUAAUACCGCACAACAGUUUAUGCCGCAUGGCAUAAGAGUGAAAGGCGCCUUCGGGUGUCGCUGAUGGAUGGACCCGCGGUUCAUUUGCCAGUUGGUGAGGUAACGGCUCACCAAGGCCACGAUGCAGAGCCGACCUGAGAGGGUGAUCGGCCACACUGGGACUGAGACACGGCCCAGACUCCUACGGGAGGCAGCAGUAGGGAAUCUUCGGCAAUGGACGAAAGUCUGACCGAGCAACGCCGCGUGAGUGAAGAAGGUUUUCGGAUCGUAAAACUCUGUUGUUAGGGAAGAACAAGGACGUUAGUAACUGAACGUCCCCUGACGGUAUCUAACCAGAAAGCCACGGCUAACUACGUG
RNAcentral lists this ribosomal RNA (507 nucleotides) under uncultured bacterium. RNAcentral's name for it is "partial 16S ribosomal RNA". It matches the Rfam family "Bacterial small subunit ribosomal RNA", at positions 28 to 507 of the family's 1533-position model. The record is from RNAcentral.